GCUCGGAUGGUGGAAUCGGUAGACACGCAAGACUUAAAAUCUUGUAACCAUUGCGGUUGUGCGGGUUCAAGUCCCGCUCCGAGUA
This 85-nucleotide transfer RNA is filed under the name Tannerella sp. RNAcentral's name for it is "tRNA-Leu". It matches the Rfam family "tRNA". From Rfam's summary of the family: Transfer RNA (tRNA) molecules are approximately 80 nucleotides in length. Their secondary structure includes four short double-helical elements and three loops (D, anti-codon, and T loops). The record is from RNAcentral. Lineage: Bacteria; Pseudomonadati; Bacteroidota; Bacteroidia; Bacteroidales; Tannerellaceae.